AAGAAUAGAGAAAGGCAUUGAAUUUAUUCAAAACGCAGAAUACUAUACAACGGUUUAAAUGAACUAACAAGAGCUAUAUGCAACAGCAUGGAUAGAAGUAUUUACAAACAUUAUAUUAUCUAACCCUUGCAAUAUUCUUAGAAAUGUUACCCAGUGUACAGAUGUGAAAACUAAAAUUUAAAAACUAAAUUGUUUGGAGUUAUAACCUGAGGCCAGGAUUUCAGUCUUAAUCCAGAUAUAUGAAUUUUAAAUUCAUAUUCCUUGCACUAUUGUAUAGAACUUUCAGGAUUUGUCCUCAGUCAGUCAAGAUGGAGCAAGUGAAAUUGAUGAAAUAUUUUUCCUUCUUACCAGUCCCCAAUUCCAUUUGUCAUUGAAAGGCUAUUCAGUUCUGAAGACCUAGCAUGACUAAAAUGGAAGAUAGAUUUCCAGUUUGUGAUAAAUAAUGUAGACAUCAAUAAUUUUUUUUCUGCAGACUUGGGUCUAUUUUAAAUUAUACCAAUACACCUAAAGAUGCAUAAUUUAUUUUUCUAUGUAGAUCAAUACCAAGACUGAUAUUGAUUCUUUCCAUAAUCUCAUCCCCAAACUUUUGAACACAGCAGUUCCAUAUAGUAUUGAUGAAUGUCUGCUCCAACUUGCAAUUACAGCAAUAACAUCAGUACAUUUGAUGAUUUUCUGAUUGACCCUUUUCCCAAAGCUUUAAAUGUAGUAAUUUAAUACAUAAUAAUAAUCUUUCCUACUUAUAGAUGCUCCAUAAUUAAACAUUAAUGAAAAUUUAGCCUUUGGUAUAUAAAAUGCAUAGAUUCAGCUGCAUAAUAGUACCAAUACUUGACAGUUUUUUGAUUGGUUGUCUUACCAAGAAACCCUCUCUAUUCUGUAAGUUAACAGUUAACUCUCCUGCAUUUCCUUUGUUAAAUUUUUUUUCUGAGAUAGGGUCCUUCUGAAAGAGCAAAACAAAUAGAAGAUUUUCCAUGGGUACAUCUAGUAUUAUGACUUAUACACAAGAGAAGUACUUAUAAAUUUACAUAUUAGCAUAUUUGUGGAAAACCAAACAUAAAGGGAAAAAUGUAAAAAUAUCACAUAUUUAUUUCUAGAACAGAGCCAUAACAAAACUAGUAUUUUUCAGAUUUAGACUAAGUUCAUUUUAUCCGAAUGCCUAAACACAAAAUAAUUUUACAUGUACAUAACCCAUAUAAAUAUAAUUAUAUGGAAACUAAGGGGGAAGGAUAAACACUUAUGAAGAACUUUAUAAAAUCAGCAAGUAGAAACAGAUACUUCAGGUAUAAACUGGUCAAGAGCAUUGAAAGACUUGAACAAAGACUUGGCCAAAGAAGUUACAGGAAUGGCAAAUAAGCCCAUGAAAAGAUGUUUGGCAUCAUUAGCCAUUAGGGAAAUGUAAAGUAAAACCAUAAGGAGGUCUAUCUCUCCCCAUCUAUUGGAAUGGCUAAAAUUUUUUAAAAAGUGACAACAGAAUAAGCUGGCAAGGAUGCAGCGAAACUGUAUCAUUCUUACAUUGCUGGUGAGACUAUAAAAUGGUACAGAUAUCCUGGAAAACAGUUUGGCACUUUCUUAUAAAAUAUGCAACUAUCAUUUGACCUAGAAUUUAUGUUCAUGUAAAAACUUUUACAUGAAAUUUCACUGAAAAUUUGUCAUAACCAAAAAUGUAAACAAGCUAGAUGUCCUUUAAUGUGUGAAUGGUUAAAUUGUGGUAUAUCCAUACCAGUAACCCUACUCAUCAAUAAAAUGGAAGGAAAUAUUAAUACACCUAACAGCCUGGAUGAAUCUCAAAUGCAUGCCAAAGUAAAGGAAAAAGGCCAAUCUCAAAAGUAUACAUAUUUUAUGAUUCCAUGUAUAUAUCAUUCUCAAAAUAACAAAAUUAUAGACAUGGAAAACAAAUCAGCAGUUGCAAGGGAUUCAGGGAAAGGAAUGCAAUUACAAGGUUGUGGUGUUUGGGAGUUUUUGUUUGUUUGUUUUUGUUUUUGUUUUGUCUUUUUGCCAUUUCUUGGGCUGCUUUUUGCGGCAUAUGGAGGUUCCCAGGCUAGGGGUUGAAUUGGAGCUGUAGCCGCUGGCCUACACCAGAGCCACAGCAAUGCAGGAUCUGAGCCGCGUCUGCAACCUACACCACAGCUCAGGGCAACGCUGGAUCCUCAACCCACUGAGCAAGGCCACGGAUCGAACCUGCAACCUCAUGGUUCCUAGUCAGAUUCGUUAACCACUGAGCCACAACAGGAACACCCAGGGAGUUCUUUUAUGGUUACAGAAUAGUUCUAUAUCUUGAUGUGGUGGUGGUUAUGCACAUAUUUGCAUUAUGUCAUACAUAUGAUAAAAUAUUAUAUCCAAAAUAUAUAUUAAGAACUCUCAAGAGUCAUUAAUAAGAAAACUGACCAAUAAAAAUAUGGCCAAAUAUUUGAGUAGAAAUUAAUUGACAUAAGAUAUAUAGAUGACUAAUAAACACAUAAAAAUGGAUUAAAGUCAUUAGUUACUAGGGAUAUGCAAAUUAAGUACACAAUUGUAUCUUCACAUUUUUUAGAAUGGCUAAAAGAAACAAAAUAACUGACAACAACUGUCGAGAAAAGAGAGAAACUUGAACGCUCAUAAACUGCUCAUGAGAAUGCAAAAAGGUGAAGUCACUUCAUGAAUUUGUUUUCAUUGCUCAUAAAUAUACACAUACUAUAAAACUCUGUAAUCCCAUCCCUAAAUAAUUCCCAAAUAAAACGUAAAUUUCUGUUCAUACAAACCAUACAUGCCAGUAACUGUUCUUUAUCUUGACUGUGGUAGUAUUUACAUUAUUAUAUGCAUUAGUUAAAGCCCAUAGCAUUAUAUUCUAAUAAGGGUGAUUUUUAGUCUAUAUAAAUUAUAUCAGAAAAAAUUCAAAAUAAAAUUAACUUCUUAAAACAAAUUAAUAAUAAUGUUUUAAAGGUUUUUUAUACAUAAAUAGUUUAGUAAAAGAUAUGAAAAUAAUAGCACAAUGAAUGGAGAGGAUUAAAGUAUAUUUUGUAAGCAUCUUACCAUACAGGAAAAAGAUACAAUAUUAGUUGCAUCUAGAAUUAAUUUUUCAAUGCAUAAAUGUUUUGCUAAUUCUUUAUACUCAAUGUCAUUGACCAAUAAAUAUUAUCACUCAUUAUGCCUUAGUGGCUCUAUGAAAGCUUUUAUGAAAUGAGCUGUGUCCUACUAGGGUACCAGAACUGAAUCGUCUGAUUCUGCCCUUGAACAACUAGAAAGUUAUAAAAACUACUUAAUCCUCUUAAGUCUCAGACACUUAAUUUAAUGAAGACCCAUGAAAAUGGUAAGCUGUGUGAUAAAAGAUAUUCACAAUUGAAAGCAUCAAUUUUAUUGAGUUAGGAACCCAUGUCUGAUUUGUUAAUCUUUGUUUUUCAGAUAAUAUUUAGCAUGAAAGAGACAGUAGUUUUUAUUUUGCUUCUCUUAAGAGGUAUUUUCUAAGUUUUUUUCUUUCCUUUUCAUCUUUUAAAGUUUUAUUGAAGUAUAUCUGAUUUUCAAGGUUGUGAUAAUUUCUGCUGUACAACAAAGUGAUUCAGUUAUACAUAUAUACACAUCCAUUCUCUUUCAGAUUCUUUUCUGAAAAGAAAAAUCUACACAUAGAUUAUCAUAGAAAAUUGGGUAGAGUUCUCUGUGAUAUAUAGCAUGUCCCUUUUGGCCAGUCAUUCCAUAUACCCCAGUGUGAAUAUGCCAAUCCCAAACCCUAGUCCAUCUCUCCCCUACCACCUUUUGGUAAUCAUUAGUUUUUCAAAGUCUGUGAGUCUGUUUCUCUUCUGCAAAUAAGUUCAUUUAUGUUCCUUUUUUAUUAGAUUUCAUAUGUAAGUGAUAUCAGAUGAUGUUUGUCUUUCACUGUCCAACUUCAGUAUGAUAGUUUCUAGGUCCAUCCAUGUUACUGUACAUGGCAUUAUUUCAUUCUUUUUUUAAUGGCUGAGUAAUAUACUAUGUAUACAUGCACCAUUUCUUUAGCCACUCCUCCACUGAUGGACGUUUAGGUUGCUUCCUUGUCUUGGCUAUUGUACAGAAUGCUGCUAUGAACAAUGGGGCGUGUGUAUCUUUUUGAAUUAUGGUUUUUCUCCAGAUAGAUGCCCAGAAGUGGACAGCUGGAUAAUACGUAGCUCUAUUUUUAGUUUUAUGAGGAACCUCCAUUCUGUUUUCCAUAGUGAUUGCACCAGCUUACAUUCCCACCAACAGUGUAAGAGGGUUCCCUUUUCCUCACACUCUCUCCAGCAUUUGUUAUUUGUGUUCUUUUUGAUGAUGGCCAUCCUCAGCAGUGUGAAGUGAUACCUCAUUGUAGUUUUGACUUGCAUUUCUCUAAUAAUUAGUGAUCAUGUGUUUUUUUGCCAUCUGUCUGUCUUCUUUGGAGAAAUGUCUAUCCAGCUCUUCUGCCCAUUUUUUGAUUUUUUUUUAUUAUAAAGGUCCAUGUGAUGUUUGUAUAUUUUGGAGAUUAGGAGCUAGAGUUAGAUAAGAAGACUGUGUGUGUGUGUGUAAAAUCAAUAAAAGGGAAUUAGGGAUACAAGCUGUUUCAGAAAUAAUUAUAAAUUUGGUGACCAAGUAAUUGUAUUAGAUACCUUUAAGAAAUAGUACAAUAGUUAUUCUAGGAAUAAUCAGUAGCUAUAAUUAAUACUCAGUACAGUUAUCUAUCGCAUAUUAAUAGACUGUAGUCUGCAUAUAGGAAUACUUGAGAAGAUGUAAGCUAGCAGUGUUGGGUAUUAACUUUCCAAAUUUAUUUUGCUUUUUACGGCUGCAUCCGCAGCAUAUGGAAGUUCCCGGGCUAGGGGAUGAAUUGCAGCUGUAGCUGCCAGCUUCUGCCACAGCCACAGCAACGUGGGAUCUGAGCCACAUCUGCGACCUAACCACAGCUCAUGGCAAUGCCGGAUCCCUGACCCACUGAAGGAGGCCAGGGAUCAAACCCUCAUCCUCAUGGAUACAAGCUGGCUUUGUUUCCACUGUGCCACAGUGGGAACUCUGGGUAUUAACUUUUAAAGAGAGCUGAAAACUGGAUAAUAUGCUUUUAAAAGUCUAUCUUUAUUAAACAGAACAAUCUAAACAUUGAGGAAUAAAGUCAAAUCUAGAAGCAAUCAUUUAACUUUUGUCUCUGCCACAAUGUACUUCGAUUGCUAUAUUAAUAGUAUCAGAAAACUGUAUAUAUAAAUUCCAAAAACACAUAUUUUGCAUUUACAUUAGCACUUAAGGCACUGCUUAGGACAAAUAUGUACUAUUCGGCAUAUUCUGGAACUUCUCACUUAUUAUCCCUUAUCAUUCACUGAGAGGUAGAGGGGAGAGAAAAAAAAAAAACACACUUCACUUAGGGCACUGGGGAAAACCCAGGGCAGUUGGGGAAAAGGAAGAGAUUUUUAAAAGAUCUAUUCUAGGGGAAAGACGGGAAUGAGUGCUGGAGCCAGAACUAUAACUGGAGGAAGAAUAGGAAGACUGAGAAAGCAGGACCCCUGAGAUCUAAGGAUUCUGCCUGCCUGUGAUGCACAGAGAAGGAUAUAACAUAAUCAAUACCAAACCAGAGUAGUUUUUGCAAAAAAGGCCUGACUUCAAUAAAUUGAGGGACAUUCUAUAACAUAUCUGAUUAGUACUCUUCAAAACUGUCAAUGUCCUGAAAGAUAAGGAAAAACUGAGGAAGUGUCAUGGAUUGGAGGAAACUAAGGAGAGGUGACAACUCAGUGCAGUGUGUUCACAUGGACUGCAUCCUGGAACAGAAAAAGGACUUUGGUGGAAAAACUGGUAGACUCUGAAUAAAGUCUCUGGUUUAAUAUUGUACAAAUUUUGAUCUCUUAGUUUUCAUAAUUGUAUUAUAGUUACGUGAAAAGUUAACAUUAGGGGUUGCUGGAUGAAGGGCAUAUGAAAACAUUCUGUACUAUAUUUACAACUCUUAUUUCAACUGUAUGUAAUGCCUUGAGGUCUCAGCUGAGUAUCUGGAGGAUGUUUUCUCUGGCACUGCAUUUCUGUAUGAAUGGUGGUUUUUCAGCUUGCCUGCUUUUCCUACCUCUAGGUGUCCACUAAAACUGUUCUAACAGUAUGGCCAGGUCACCAGUGGUCUACCUGAUGUUGAAU
RNAcentral lists this long non-coding RNA (6057 nucleotides) under Sus scrofa (pig). RNAcentral's name for it is "lncRNA (ENSSSCG00055006489.1)". Lineage: Eukaryota; Metazoa; Chordata; Mammalia; Artiodactyla; Suidae. The record is from RNAcentral.